AGUGAACGCUGGCGGUAGGCCUAACACAUGCAAGUCGAACGGCAGCACAGUAAGAGUUUGCUCUUACGGGUGGCGAGUGGCGGACGGGUGAGGAAUACAUCGGAAUCUACUUUUUCGUGGGGGAUAACGUAGGGAAACUUACGCUAAUACCGCAUAUGAUCUACGGGUGAAAGCAGGGGAUCUUCGGACCUUGCGCGAUUGAAUGAGCCGAUGUCGGAUUAGCUAGUUGGCGGGGUAAAGGCCCACCAAGGCGACGAUCCGUAGCUGGUCUGAGAGGAUGAUCGGCCACACUGGAACUGAGACACGGUCCAGACUCCUACGGGAGGCAGCAGUGGGGAAUAUUGGGCAAUGGGCGCAAGCCUGAUCCAGCCAUACCGCGUGGGUGAAGAAGGCCUUCGGGUUGUAAAGCCCUUUUGUUGGGAAAGAAAAGCAGCAGGUUAAUACCCCGCUGUUCUGACGGUACCCAAUGAAUAAGCACCGGCUAACUUCGUG
RNAcentral lists this ribosomal RNA (492 nucleotides) under uncultured bacterium. Its description in RNAcentral is "partial 16S ribosomal RNA". It matches the Rfam family "Bacterial small subunit ribosomal RNA", at positions 29 to 507 of the family's 1533-position model. The record is from RNAcentral.